GCCUAUGGCCAUACCAGACUGAGCGCCCCCAAUCUUAUCCAAUCUCGGAGGUAAACUGUCCCGGGUCUGACUAGUACUUGGAUGGGUGAUGCCCUGGGAAUCCCAGGUGCCAUAGGCA
This is a ribosomal RNA of Pelodiscus sinensis (Chinese soft-shelled turtle), 118 nucleotides long. NCBI's taxonomy places the organism in Eukaryota, Metazoa, Chordata, Testudines, Trionychidae. The record is from Ensembl.